RNAcentral lists this ribosomal RNA (3012 nucleotides) under Salmonella enterica subsp. enterica serovar Stanleyville. RNAcentral's name for it is "23S ribosomal RNA". It matches the Rfam family "Bacterial large subunit ribosomal RNA". The record is from RNAcentral. Lineage: Bacteria; Pseudomonadati; Pseudomonadota; Gammaproteobacteria; Enterobacterales; Enterobacteriaceae.
GGGUUGUGAGGUUAAGCGACUAAGCGUACACGGUGGAUGCCCUGGCAGUCAGAGGCGAUGAAGGGCGUGCUAAUCUGCGAUAAGCGCCGGUAAGGUGAUAUGAACCGUUAUAACCGGCGAUACCCGAAUGGGGAAACCCAGUGUGACUCGUCACACUAUCAUUAACUGAAUCCAUAGGUUAAUGAGGCGAACCGGGGGAACUGAAACAUCUAAGUACCCCGAGGAAAAGAAAUCAACCGAGAUUCCCCCAGUAGCGGCGAGCGAACGGGGAGGAGCCCAGAGCCUGAAUCAGCAUGUGUGUUAGUGGAAGCGUCUGGAAAGGCGCGCGAUACAGGGUGACAGCCCCGUACACAAAAGCGCAUGUGCUGUGAGCUCGAUGAGUAGGGCGGGACACGUGGUAUCCUGUCUGAAUAUGGGGGGACCAUCCUCCAAGGCUAAAUACUCCUGACUGACCGAUAGUGAACCAGUACCGUGAGGGAAAGGCGAAAAGAACCCCGGCGAGGGGAGUGAAAAAGAACCUGAAACCGUGUACGUACAAGCAGUGGGAGCACAGGUUUACCUGUGUGACUGCGUACCUUUUGUAUAAUGGGUCAGCGACUUAUAUUCUGUAGCAAGGUUAACCGAAUAGGGGAGCCGGAGGGAAACCGAGUCUUAACCGGGCGUUAAGUUGCAGGGUAUAGACCCGAAACCCGGUGAUCUAGCCAUGGGCAGGUUGAAGGUUGGGUAACACUAACUGGAGGACCGAACCGACUAAUGUUGAAAAAUUAGCGGAUGACCUGUGGCUGGGGGUGAAAGGCCAAUCAAACCGGGAGAUAGCUGGUUCUCCCCGAAAGCUAUUUAGGUAGCGCCUCGUGAACUCAUCUCCGGGGGUAGAGCACUGUUUCGGCUAGGGGGCCAUCCCGGCUUACCAACCCGAUGCAAACUGCGAAUACCGGAGAAUGUUAUCACGGGAGACACACGGCGGGUGCUAACGUCCGUCGUGAAGAGGGAAACAACCCAGACCGCCAGCUAAGGUCCCAAAGUCAUGGUUAAGUGGGAAACGAUGUGGGAAGGCCCAGACAGCCAGGAUGUUGGCUUAGAAGCAGCCAUCAUUUAAAGAAAGCGUAAUAGCUCACUGGUCGAGUCGGCCUGCGCGGAAGAUGUAACGGGGCUAAACCAUGCACCGAAGCUGCGGCAGCGAACGUAUCACCCAAGACAACUUUACGGAGUUGACGAUUGACGGAGCGAAGCGACGUCAAAGCGUAUACAAAGUCGAGUUGGCUUAGGGAUACGUUCGUUGGGUAGGGGAGCGUUCUGUAAGCCUGUGAAGGUGGCCUGUGAGGGUUGCUGGAGGUAUCAGAAGUGCGAAUGCUGACAUAAGUAACGAUAAAGCGGGUGAAAAGCCCGCUCGCCGGAAGACCAAGGGUUCCUGUCCAACGUUAAUCGGGGCAGGGUGAGUCGACCCCUAAGGCGAGGCCGAAAGGCGUAGUCGAUGGGAAACGGGUUAAUAUUCCCGUACUUGGUGUUACUGCGAAGGGGGGACGGAGAAGGCUAUGUUGGCCGGGCGACGGUUGUCCCGGUUUAAGCGUGUAGGUGUGUGUUCCAGGUAAAUCCGGUUCACUUUAACACUGAGGCGUGACGACGAGGCACUACGGUGCUGAAGCAACAAAUGCCCUGCUUCCAGGAAAAGCCUCUAAGCAUCAGGUAACAUCAAAUCGUACCCCAAACCGACACAGGUGGUCAGGUAGAGAAUACCAAGGCGCUUGAGAGAACUCGGGUGAAGGAACUAGGCAAAAUGGUGCCGUAACUUCGGGAGAAGGCACGCUGACACGUAGGUGAAGUGAUUUACUCAUGGAGCUGAAGUCAGUCGAAGAUACCAGCUGGCUGCAACUGUUUAUUAAAAACACAGCACUGUGCAAACACGAAAGUGGACGUAUACGGUGUGACGCCUGCCCGGUGCCGGAAGGUUAAUUGAUGGGGUCAGCGCAAGCGAAGCUCCUGAUCGAAGCCCCGGUAAACGGCGGCCGUAACUAUAACGGUCCUAAGGUAGCGAAAUUCCUUGUCGGGUAAGUUCCGACCUGCACGAAUGGCGUAAUGAUGGCCAGGCUGUCUCCACCCGAGACUCAGUGAAAUUGAACUCGCUGUGAAGAUGCAGUGUACCCGCGGCAAGACGGAAAGACCCCGUGAACCUUUACUAUAGCUUGACACUGAACAUUGAGCCUUGAUGUGUAGGAUAGGUGGGAGGCUUUGAAGCGUGGACGCCAGUCUGCGUGGAGCCAACCUUGAAAUACCACCCUUUAAUGUUUGAUGUUCUAACGUGGACCCGUAAUCCGGGUUGCGGACAGUGUCUGGUGGGUAGUUUGACUGGGGCGGUCUCCUCCUAAAGAGUAACGGAGGAGCACGAAGGUUGGCUAAUCCUGGUCGGACAUCAGGAGGUUAGUGCAAUGGCAUAAGCCAGCUUGACUGCGAGCGUGACGGCGCGAGCAGGUGCGAAAGCAGGUCAUAGUGAUCCGGUGGUUCUGAAUGGAAGGGCCAUCGCUCAACGGAUAAAAGGUACUCCGGGGAUAACAGGCUGAUACCGCCCAAGAGUUCAUAUCGACGGCGGUGUUUGGCACCUCGAUGUCGGCUCAUCACAUCCUGGGGCUGAAGUAGGUCCCAAGGGUAUGGCUGUUCGCCAUUUAAAGUGGUACGCGAGCUGGGUUUAGAACGUCGUGAGACAGUUCGGUCCCUAUCUGCCGUGGGCGCUGGAGAACUGAGGGGGGCUGCUCCUAGUACGAGAGGACCGGAGUGGACGCAUCACUGGUGUUCGGGUUGUCAUGCCAAUGGCACUGCCCGGUAGCUAAAUGCGGAAGAGAUAAGUGCUGAAAGCAUCUAAGCACGAAACUUGCCCCGAGAUGAGUUCUCCCUGAGACUUUAGGUCUCCUGAAGGAACGUUGAAGACGACGACGUUGAUAGGCCGGGUGUGUAAGCGCAGCGAUGCGUUGAGCUAACCGGUACUAAUGAACCGUGAGGCUUAACCUUACAACGCCGAAG